UGGGGAAUAUUGCACAAUGGGCGCAAGCCUGAUGCAGCCAUGCCGCGUGUGUGAAGAAGGCCUUCGGGUUGUAAAGCACUUUCAGCGAGGAGGAAGGUGGUGGACUUAAUACGUUCAUCAAUUGACGUUACUCGCAGAAGAAGCACCGGCUAACUCCGUGCCAGCAGCCGCGGUAAUACGGAGGGUGCAAGCGUUAAUCGGAAUUACUGGGCGUAAAGCGCACGCAGGCGGUUUGUUAAGUCAGAUGUGAAAUCCCCGGGCUCAACCUGGGAACUGCAUUUGAAAACUGGCAAGCUAGAGUCUCGUAGAGGGGGGUAGAAUUCCAGGUGUAGCGGUGAAAUGCGUAGAGAUCUGGAGGAAUACCGGUGGCGAAGGCGGCCCCCUGGANGAAGACUGACGCUCAGGUGCGAAAGCGUGGGGAGCAAACAGAUUAGAUACCCUGGUAGUCCACGCUGUAAAACGAUGUCGAUUUUGGAGGUUGUGCCCCUUGAGGCGUGGNUUCCGGAGCUAACG
This 513-nucleotide ribosomal RNA is filed under the name uncultured bacterium. Its description in RNAcentral is "partial 16S ribosomal RNA". It matches the Rfam family "Bacterial small subunit ribosomal RNA", at positions 355 to 857 of the family's 1533-position model. The record is from RNAcentral.